GACAGAGGGGGCAAGCGUUGCUCGGAAUUACUGGGCGUAAAGGGCGCGUAGGCGGGAUGGCAAGUCGGUCGUGAAAUCCCUCGGCUCAACCGAGGAACGUCGAUCGAUACUGCUGUUCUUGAGGACUGCAGAGGAGACUGGAAUUCCCGGUGUAGCGGUGAAAUGUGUAGAGAUCGGGAGGAACAUCAGUGGCGAAAGCGACUUCUUGGACCAAUACUGACGCUCAAGUGCGAAAGCGUGGGGAGCAAACAGG
Molecule: ribosomal RNA, 253 nt
Filed under: uncultured bacterium
Lineage: Bacteria
Description: partial 16S ribosomal RNA
Rfam family: Bacterial small subunit ribosomal RNA
Source: RNAcentral